GUCCCACCGACGACCCUUAUAUAUAUUUGUUUAACCUCGCUCAGGACGAACGCUGGCGGCGUGCUUAACACAUGCAAGUCGCCCGAUGUUCCGGUUUCGGCCGGGGAUUAGUGGCGCCCGGGUGAGUAACACGUGGGCAAUCUGCCCUGCACUCUGGGAUAAGCCCGGGUUUCUGGGUCUCCUACCGGAUACGACACUCCGAGGCAUCUUGGGGUGUGGUUUGUUCCGGCGGUGCAGGAUGAGCCCGCGGCCUAUCAGCUUGUUGGUGGGGUCCUGGCCUACCCCGGCGACGACGGGUAGCCGGCCUGAGAGGGUGACCGGCCACACUGGGACUGAGACACGGCCCAGACUCCUACGGGAGGCAGCAGUGGGGCCUAUUGCACGGUGGGCGAAAGCCUGAUGCAGCGACGCCGCGUGAGGGAUGACGGCCUUCGGGUUGUGGGCCUCUUUCAGCAGGGAAGGGGCGUUUGUGACGGUACCUGCAGGGGAAGCACCGGCUAACUACGUGCCAGCAGCCGCGGUAAUACGUAGGGUGCGAGCGUUGUCCGGAAUUAUUGGGCGUGGGGAGCUCGUAGGCGGUUUGUCGCGUCGAUUGUGUUUGCCCGGGGCUUAACCCUGGGUCUGCAGUCGAUACGGGCAGGCUAGAGUUCGGCAGGGGAGACUGGAAUUCCUGGUGUAGCGGUGUUUUGCGCAGAUAUCAGGAGGAACACCGGUGGCGUUGGCGGGUCUCUGGGCCGAUACUGACGCUGAGGAGCGUUGGCGUGGGGAGCGAACAGGAUUAGAUACCCUGGUAGUCCACGCCGUGGGCGGUGGGCACUAGGUGUGGGCAACAUUCCACGUUGUCCGUGCCGCAGCUGGUUCGCAUUGUGCCCCGCCUGGAGACGCCGCACCGU
This 893-nucleotide ribosomal RNA is filed under the name Streptomyces carpaticus. RNAcentral's name for it is "bacterial SSU rRNA". It matches the Rfam family "Bacterial small subunit ribosomal RNA", at positions 1 to 889 of the family's 1533-position model. Lineage: Bacteria; Bacillati; Actinomycetota; Actinomycetes; Kitasatosporales; Streptomycetaceae. The record is from RNAcentral.